UGAUCUGUAAGCUUUUAAAUUGGCCUAAAGGUCAGUUAACUUUAAUCAGCCUGAGGGAUAUGGGAGGGCACCCGUGUUUAACGUACACAGUAUAUCUGUCCAUACUGCACUUCAGCUGAUUUUAAGAUGCAUUUAUAGCAAAGUGAUGGAUGCAAUACCCAGUGGCAGAAUUAAAAAAAAAAAAGUUUAACAUUAUGACAAAUUUUGAUAAUGAAUAUAGUACAAGUGUUGUAUUCAUUGUUUACAACUGUGGCUCAGCAACAGGUGCAGGCAGUAACUAAUCAGUGACUUGAGGGGGGGCCACAUGGAUCAUAACGGUUGCUUUCGAAUCUGAGCUGAACACUGAGGAUCAAUUGCAAACUCACUGAACAGAUAUGUCCCAUGUGGCCACCCUUCAAGUCGCUGACUAACUCAGCGUUAGAGAGCUGAAAAGCAGGAAGUUGUAUUCUGCUAUGUUAUGUUAGACAUCCAGUGACUCCAGCCUUUAUAGAUUACAUUUUUGCCUAACUAACUAUAAGAAACAUUUUUAUUUUGCACAGCCUAUCUAUUUACCCAGUUUUUAUUUUAUUUAUUGUAGGUAAGAUUAUAAGCAGAAAUGGCUCCUGUAUAGCAAAUGAACCCUUGGACACGUAUUUCAAUUCAAUUUGCAAGUCGAUGUUCCUUUUAUUCUAAGUUGAUUGAUGAGGUUUUGAGAUUUUUUUUCCCUCUGAAUUGUUUUCAGAGUCUCAUGCUUGCUGUUUUGGAAGAAAAGAUAAUGGAUAAUUAAACAAAAAUGCUGAAUAAUUCUGGAUAAUGUAUUGUGUCAACAAAGUAAAUCUUUAUUUUACUAAAAAUUCUCAAUGACAAAUAUGAAUGUACAAAUACAAGGACAUGGGUUUAACCCAUCUUUUUAAAAAUGCAGAAACAUGUUUAAGAACGUGUGCAGUAGCACCUGCCAACCAGGGUUGCCACCUGGCCGGUAUUUAACCGGCCUGGCCUGUAAAAAUGAUGGCUGAUCCCAAUGUUAUUAAUAGGGAAAAAAGAUAAAUUUAAAGGAAGGCCGGUAUUUUUUUCCAGAAAAGGUGGCAACCCUACUGCCAACGUUUAGGGCUAAUGGAAACUUCAUAAAUCUAGUGAAGAUAAUAUGUAAUGCACUGACUUGUAGGAGCUAGAUGAUACAGUAGCUUUGAUCUCCAGCACUGACACCAGAAAAAGAUACAAAGUUCUGAAAUUUAAUUAAAAUAAGGGGGGUUUUAGCAGAAAGCUCAGAACAUUUAGCAUCUGUACUUAGAUUUGUAACAAUUUAAGAUAAUCGAGAAUACAAUUGUAACUAUUUAAGAUAAGCAGAAGAGAACUGACUAGCAGCUUAAGGCUAGGGCCACACAGGGGCAGAAAACUGCUAGACGAAAUCCGCUGAUUUCUGCACUACAGUAGCCUCCUCUCUCUUAUGCAUUGAAUUGACUCUGCACAAACACACUUGGUGGAUUUUGGCGAAAAACCACAAAUCUCUGAAUUUUGAGCCUAGAUCUGCCGAUUCAAUGUGGAAGAGAGAGGAGGCUACUGCCGGUGGUAGGGCAGAAAUCAGCCAGUGAAUUUCAGAUAGCCGUUUUUGGCCCCCGUUUGGCCCUAGCCUAAAGGACAGUUUUACCUUCAUUAGCAAAACUGUUAUAACACAUAAAACAUGACCCUAAAACCUGCCACAUUUUUUAAAAUGGACAUAGUAAUUAUAGAUACUGAUAUUUAAAUCUUUUAGUCCCUGUUUUCAUUUUUCAAAUGUUGGGAGGUUGCACCUGCGUGAUGACGUCGGGGGGGGGCAUAUUGAUAAGCAGUAGAAGGAAUAAGAGAGGAAGGCAGAAGAGUUACCUGCCCAGCACCCUCCCCUCAUUGUGCCUCUUCUGCCUACCACUAGUUCUGGCCCGGCUUGGGAUCCUCUGAAAGGGAAUACAUUUAUACAUAAAAACAUUCAACAGAAUCUAGUCAACGAAAAAAAAGAAACACAUAAAGUAUAACAGGCUGACAACACUAUAAUUAAUUGAAAAGGCAUAAAUAAUAUAUGACAGUAAAGGCAAGGUAAAAUUACAAGGGACUAAAGUAUUUAAAUUUAGAUGAUGUGUGACAUCACCAUAAUUUUAAUAUAUUUUAAUAAUUUCCUUUACAGGUGAAUCGUAUUUUAGUUGUCUGUUAGCGCCCAAGAUUUUUUUUAUUUUGUUAAAGUAACUUUAGAAACAAUCAAAAUAAUCUCUUUGUUGUUAAUACAGUAUUUCUUAUCUUACUAGAACAAUAUGUUCAUUAUAAUUUUCAGAUAAAUAACCCAGGGCUUUGUCUUGCUUACAGGAAAAUACCCCGGAUUGGUUUGCUUACGGCCAUCUUCUGUAUUUUAACAUUGUACUGUAUUUUUAUCAUCUCAGCUGCAUUCAGCCUAUCUGUAAUUAUUCUGUGUUAGCAGUUGCCUUUCCUGCUGUACUUGAUAUUUGCCCACUGUUCUCUGCUGCUUUACUGCACACUCUUCCCAUCUGUGUUGUUAUUUCUCCAGUUACUUAACGCUCAGGAAAUAUGUUCAUAUACUGUGUGUAUUAUGCCACACCCUGUUUCACUCAAGGCUAGGAUUGCCACAUUUUCUAGAAAGAAAAUACUGACCUUCCUAUAUUUUUAUCUUUCUGUCGUUUUACUAUUAAUAAAAUUGGCACCAAACAUACUUUUUAUUGGCCCUACCCAAGGCAUACCUCUUUACCAUAGAAAUCAUGACUAUUCUGGGAAAAACAUUAAGGUUGUCAGGUAUAUAAGUAUUCAUUGAAUACAAACACCUUUUGAAAUGUGAUCUGUAUAUUGUAUGCUAAACAAUAAUAACAAUAAUAAAUGUAAAAUAGGUUAAAAAUUAAAAGAGUUUUUUGGGGGUCUGCUUCCCCUUGUGCUUUAAA
This is a long non-coding RNA of Xenopus laevis (African clawed frog), 2897 nucleotides long. RefSeq lists it as uncharacterized. Lineage: Eukaryota; Metazoa; Chordata; Amphibia; Anura; Pipidae. The transcript is spliced from 2 exons. The record is from RefSeq and is a predicted model, not a curated record.